RNAcentral lists this ribosomal RNA (429 nucleotides) under uncultured bacterium. Its description in RNAcentral is "bacterial SSU rRNA". It matches the Rfam family "Bacterial small subunit ribosomal RNA", at positions 355 to 776 of the family's 1533-position model. The record is from RNAcentral.
UGAGGAAUCUUGCGCAAUGGGCGAAAGCCUGACGCAGCGACGCCGCGUGGAGGAUGAAGGUCUUAGGAUUGUAAACUUCUGUUAAGUGGGGAGAAAUACUCCGUUAUAAUACAGCGGAAAGAUGACGGUACCAUUAGAGAAAGCACCGGCUAACUUCGUGCCAGCAGCCGCGGUAAUACGAAGGGUGCGAGCGUUAUUCGGAUUGAUUGGGCGUAAAGGGUGCGCAGGCGGAAUGUUAAGUCAACUGUUAAAUUUCCCGGCUUAACCGGGAGUCAGCGGUAGAUACUGGCGUUCUUGAGGGUGGAAGAGAGAAGUGGAAUUCUCGGAGUAGCGGUAAAAUGCGUAGAUCUCGAGAGGAACACCGAUGGCGAAGGCAGCUUCUUGGUCCAUUUCUGACGCUCAUGCACGAAAGCGUGGGGAGCAAACAGG